Molecule: ribosomal RNA, 250 nt
Filed under: uncultured bacterium
Lineage: Bacteria
Description: partial 16S ribosomal RNA
Rfam family: Bacterial small subunit ribosomal RNA
Source: RNAcentral
UACGAGGGGUGCUAGCGUUGUCCGGAAUCAUUGGGCGUAAAGGGUCCGUAGGUGUCUUUGAAAGUCUUUUGUUACAUCCAUCGGCUUAACCGGUGGCCUGCAAUCGAAACUUCAAGGAUAGAGUUCGAGAGAGGAAAGUGGAAUUCCUGGUGUAGCGGUGACAUGCGUAGAUAUCAGGAGGAACACCAAUGGCGAAGGCAGCUUUCUGGCUCGAUACUGACGCUGAGGGACGAAAGCGUGGGGAGCGAAC